This 119-nucleotide ribosomal RNA is filed under the name Pteropus alecto (black flying fox). Lineage: Eukaryota; Metazoa; Chordata; Mammalia; Chiroptera; Pteropodidae. The record is from RNAcentral. RNAcentral also lists the same sequence under 1 other name.
GUCUACAGCCAUGCCACCCUGAACAAGCUCGAUUCCAUCUGAUCUCUGAAGCUAAGCAGGGCGCGGCCUGGUUAGUACUUGGAUGAGAGACCACCUAGGAAGACCAGGUGCUGUAGGCA